UGGUUACCUUGUUACGACUUAACCCCAAUCAUGCCCCCCACCUUAGGCCGACGAAUCGGACUUCGGGUGUUGGUCACUUUCAUGGUUUGACGGGCGGUGUGUACAAGACCCGGGAACGUAUUCACCGCAGCAUGCUGAUCUGCGAUUACUAGCGAUUCCGACUUCAUGGAGGCGAGUUUCAGCCUCCAAUCCGAACUGAGAUUGGCUUUGAUGCGAUUUGCUCCACCUCGCGGCUUCGCUGCGCAUUGUACCAACCAUUGUAUCGUGUUUCUAGCCCAGGAUGUAAGAGAAACACUGACCUGACCUCAUCCCCUCCUUCCUCCCCGUUUCCGGGGCAGUCUGAUUAGAAAAAUACAACUAAUCACAAGGGUUGCGCUCGUUGAUGGACUUAACCAAACAUCUCACGACACGAGCUGACGACGGCCAUGCAUCAUCUGUCACUUGGCUCAAUAAAGCACUCUCGCCUUUCGGCAAGAUUCCAAGGAUGUCAAACCCUGGUAAGGUUUUCCGUUUAUCAUCGAAUUAAAGAACACGAUCCACCGCUUGUGCGGGUCCCCGUCAAUUCCUUUAUGUUUUAGUCUUGCGACCGUACUCCACAGGCGGGAUACUUAACGCGUUAGCUUCGCUACUGAAGGGGUCGAUACCUCCAACAGCUAGUAUCCAUCGUUUACGGCGUGGACUACCCGGGUAUCUAAUCCGGUUCGCUCCCCACGCUUUCGUGCCUCAGUGUCAGAAAUGGUCCAGUAACCUGCCUACGCCAUUGGUGUUCCUUCUUAUAUCUACGGAUUUCACUCCUACACAAGAAAUUCCAGUUACCUCUACCACUCUCGAGUUUGUGAGUUCGAAUAAUAGCCUGUACGGUUGAGCCGCCAGAUUUCACUAUUCGCUUUACAAACCACCUACGCAACUCUUUACGCCCAGUCACUCCGGAUAACGCUCGGAUCCUACGUAUUACCGCGGCUGCUGGCACGUAGUUAGCCGUGGCUUUCUGGUCAGGUACCGUCAAGGUACCGGCAGUGACUCCGGUACUUGUUCUUCCCUGACAACAGAGCUUUACGACCCGAAGGCCUUCUUCGCUCACGCGGCGUUGCUCCAUCAGACUUUCGUCCAUUGUGGAAGAUUCCCUACCGCUGCCUCCCGUAGGAGUCUGGGCCGUGUCUCAGUCCCAGUGUGGCCGAUCACCCUCUCAGGUCGGCUACGCAUCGUCGCCUUGGUGAGCCGUUACCUCACCAACUAGCUAAUGCGCCGCGGGCCCAUCUGUAAGUGACAGCCGAAACCGUCUUUCAGCUUUCCAACAUGUGUUGAAAAGAUUGAUCCGGUAUUAGCUCCGGUUUCCCGAAGUUAUCCCAGUCUUACAGGCAGGUUGCCCACGUGUUACUCACCCGUCCGCCGCUAACCAUAGGGAGCAAGCUCCCAAUGAUCCGCUCGACUUGCAUGUAUUAGGCACGCCGCCAGCGUUCGUCCUGAGCCAGGAUCAAACUCU
Molecule: ribosomal RNA, 1483 nt
Filed under: uncultured bacterium
Lineage: Bacteria
Description: partial 16S ribosomal RNA
Source: RNAcentral